Macrobrachium nipponense is the source of this 631-nucleotide long non-coding RNA. RefSeq lists it as uncharacterized. The transcript is spliced from 5 exons. NCBI's taxonomy places the organism in Eukaryota, Metazoa, Arthropoda, Malacostraca, Decapoda, Palaemonidae. The record is from RefSeq and is a predicted model, not a curated record.
UCCAGUAUUCCUGGGGCAGGGGCUUGAGAAGACUUCAUCUGAGCAGCGCAGCAGUGUUCCAGAAAGUCUCGUCAGCAUCAGACAUCCCAACGAGUGACGACUUUCCAGCAAGAUGUCCACUCUCCCCAUGAAGACAGUGUUUGCUAUUGCUCUGGUGGCCUUUUCCUUGUUCCAGAUAGGAUAUGCCAUUAAAUGCUACAUUGGUGUGGAUGACCUAAUGACAUUGAUUGCACUACGUCUUGUGUAAAAUGGGAGACUAAUUCAAAAUAUGGAGACAUUCUGCAGUAUAGCUGUUAUACGAAAAAGGAGACGGACGGUUGCACGACUAGGGUAACACCAAUCCCAGGUAUUGACAAGGACGCCACCAGAACACAGUGUUUCUGUAACACUGACCUCUGCAACAGUUCCGGCGUGACAAUGUUGUCCCUACCUGUGCUUGUGGGCUCCUUCCUCCUGAGGAUGGUGAUCUAAAGUCUUCCAAAGAAGAAGAAGAGGAAGAAGAGAACUUUCCUGAAGGGAAAUAAAAAAAAGAUGCUGUAAUUUGGGUACUUAAAAGUUUCUAUGAAUGCUGUUCUUUCAUUCGGAAUUAAUUGUAAUUCUUGUUUGAUCAUGUAAACUGUUGCCAUACUCA